RNAcentral lists this transfer RNA (77 nucleotides) under Bacteroides sp. SM23_62. Its description in RNAcentral is "tRNA-Arg". It matches the Rfam family "tRNA". Rfam says of the family: Transfer RNA (tRNA) molecules are approximately 80 nucleotides in length. Their secondary structure includes four short double-helical elements and three loops (D, anti-codon, and T loops). Further hydrogen bonds mediate the characteristic L-shaped molecular structure. tRNAs have two regions of fundamental functional importance: the anti-codon, which is responsible for specific mRNA codon recognition, and the 3' end, to which the tRNAs corresponding amino acid is attached (by aminoacyl-tRNA synthetases). tRNAs cope with the degeneracy of the genetic code in two manners: having more than one tRNA (with a specific anti-codon) for a particular amino acid; and 'wobble' base-pairing, i.e. permitting non-standard base-pairing at the 3rd anti-codon position. The record is from RNAcentral. Lineage: Bacteria; Pseudomonadati; Bacteroidota; Bacteroidia; Bacteroidales; Bacteroidaceae.
GCUCCCGUAGCUCAGCUGGAUAGAGCAACGGCCUUCUAAGCCGUAGGUCAUGGGUUCGAAUCCCGUCGGGAGUACUA